Molecule: long non-coding RNA, 150 nt
Organism: Bufo bufo (common toad)
Lineage: Eukaryota; Metazoa; Chordata; Amphibia; Anura; Bufonidae
Exons: 3
Source: RefSeq, a predicted model, not a curated record
CGAUGAGGAAUACAAGGAGGAGAUCCCUACAGAUAAGAGCCCAGGCCCCGGGUACCUUCUGGUUUCAUCUGAAAAAUUGUGAUUAUUGGGCUGCCAUACCUCUAAUAGGGGAUGACUGUACUGGGAGCUUGGAGAAACAUCUCAUAUCUA